Molecule: transfer RNA, 66 nt
Filed under: Posthodiplostomum centrarchi
Lineage: Eukaryota; Metazoa; Platyhelminthes; Trematoda; Diplostomida; Diplostomidae
Description: tRNA-Trp
Source: RNAcentral
AGCAAAAUAAGUUAAUUUGACUAUUUGUUUUCAAAACAAAAUGUGAUUUGAUAAAAUCUUUUGCUG